AUUGAACGCUGGCGGCAUGCUUUACACAUGCAAGUCGAACGGCAGCGGGGUAGUGCUUGCACUACUGCCGGCGAGUGGCGAACGGGUGAGUAAUAUAUCGGAACGUACCGAGUAAUGGGGGAUAACCAAUCGAAAGAUUGGCUAAUACCGCAUACGUCCUGAGGGAGAAAGCGGGGGAUCGCAAGACCUCGCGUUAUUCGAGCGGCCGAUAACUGAUUAGCUAGUUGGUGGGGUAAAGGCCUACCAAGGCGACGAUCAGUAGCGGGUCUGAGAGGACGAUCCGCCACACUGGGACUGAGACACGGCCCAGACUCCUACGGGAGGCAGCAGUGGGGAAUUUUGGACAAUGGGGGCAACCCUGAUCCAGCCAUGCCGCGUGUAUGAAGAAGGCCUUCGAGUUGUAAAGUACUUUUGUUAGGGAAGAAAAGGGAAGUGCUAAUACCACUUUUUGCUGACGGUACCUAAAGAAUAAGCACCGGCUAACUACGUG
Molecule: ribosomal RNA, 490 nt
Filed under: uncultured bacterium
Lineage: Bacteria
Description: partial 16S ribosomal RNA
Rfam family: Bacterial small subunit ribosomal RNA
Source: RNAcentral